This 26-nucleotide small RNA is filed under the name Bombyx mori (domestic silkworm). RNAcentral describes it as "ovarian small RNA-13778". The record is from RNAcentral. Lineage: Eukaryota; Metazoa; Arthropoda; Insecta; Lepidoptera; Bombycidae.
CCGACCAGGACUGCUGGAUGGGGGAC